GGGCCAUUAGCUCAGCUGGUAGAGCACGCGCCUUUUAAGCGUGGGGUCGAUGGUUCGAGCCCAUCAUGGCCCACCA
RNAcentral lists this transfer RNA (76 nucleotides) under Thermaerobacter sp. RNAcentral describes it as "tRNA-Lys". It matches the Rfam family "tRNA". Rfam says of the family: Transfer RNA (tRNA) molecules are approximately 80 nucleotides in length. Their secondary structure includes four short double-helical elements and three loops (D, anti-codon, and T loops). Further hydrogen bonds mediate the characteristic L-shaped molecular structure. tRNAs have two regions of fundamental functional importance: the anti-codon, which is responsible for specific mRNA codon recognition, and the 3' end, to which the tRNAs corresponding amino acid is attached (by aminoacyl-tRNA synthetases). tRNAs cope with the degeneracy of the genetic code in two manners: having more than one tRNA (with a specific anti-codon) for a particular amino acid; and 'wobble' base-pairing, i.e. permitting non-standard base-pairing at the 3rd anti-codon position. The record is from RNAcentral. Lineage: Bacteria; Bacillati; Bacillota; Clostridia; Eubacteriales; Clostridiales Family XVII. Incertae Sedis.